AUACGGAGGGUGCAAGCGUUAUCCGGAAUCAUUGGGUUUAAAGGGUCCGUAGGCGGAUAAUUAAGUCAGGGGUGAAAUCCCACAGCUCAACUGUGGCACUGCCUUUGAUACUGGUUAUCUCGAGUUAUAGGGAAGUAGAUAGAAUAUGUAGUGUAGCGGUGAAAUGCAUAGAUAUUACAUAGAAUACCGAUUGCGAAGGCAGUCUACUAUCUGUAUACUGACGCUAAGGGACGAAAGCGUGGGGAGCGAACAGGAUUAGAAACCCUAGUAGUCC
RNAcentral lists this ribosomal RNA (274 nucleotides) under uncultured bacterium. Its description in RNAcentral is "partial 16S ribosomal RNA". It matches the Rfam family "Bacterial small subunit ribosomal RNA", at positions 523 to 796 of the family's 1533-position model. The record is from RNAcentral.